UACGUAGGUGGCAAGCGUUGUCCGGAUUUACUGGGCGUAAAGAGCGCGCAGGCGGUCGGUCAAGUCGCGUGUGAAAGCCCCCGGCUCAACUGGGGAGGGUCACGCGAUACUGAUCGACUCGAAGGCAGGAGAGGGAAGUGGAAUUCCCGGUGUAGUGGUGAAAUGCGUAGAUAUCGGGAGGAACACCAGUGGCGAAGGCGACUUCCUGGCCUGUUCUUGACGCUGAGGCGCGAAAGCUAGGGUAGCAAACGGG
RNAcentral lists this ribosomal RNA (253 nucleotides) under uncultured bacterium. RNAcentral's name for it is "partial 16S ribosomal RNA". It matches the Rfam family "Bacterial small subunit ribosomal RNA", at positions 524 to 776 of the family's 1533-position model. The record is from RNAcentral.